GCUCUUCAGAUCUGCCAGAGGCUUGCAGAGGGAAGGGAACCGAGGCCCAGCUCAAAGCCCCAAACUUAACUGCUGGGCAGUGUGAUGACGCUGACUGCAAAUAAAACUUACAACAGUGACGACAAUAACUGUGUAAAAUGCUUGUGUUCUUGAGCAUUCACUGUGUGCCGGCACCUUUUGGGGAUUCUGCAUGCGUGAGCUCAUGUAGUGUUCGGUUUAGUUUAGAUAUUUCCAUGGGCG
Long non-coding RNA from Otolemur garnettii (small-eared galago), 240 nucleotides. RefSeq lists it as uncharacterized. The transcript is spliced from 3 exons. Lineage: Eukaryota; Metazoa; Chordata; Mammalia; Primates; Galagidae. The record is from RefSeq and is a predicted model, not a curated record.